This is a long non-coding RNA of Homalodisca vitripennis (glassy-winged sharpshooter), 697 nucleotides long. RefSeq lists it as uncharacterized. Lineage: Eukaryota; Metazoa; Arthropoda; Insecta; Hemiptera; Cicadellidae. The transcript has 2 exons. The record is from RefSeq and is a predicted model, not a curated record.
GUUAUGUUUACAUUCAGUUUUCUUAUUAAUAAAAUAAACUUGUGUUUCUAACAUAUUAAUUUGUAAUUUCUAGCAAAUGAAGAAACAGUGUAUACAAAUUUUGCAGCAACCUAUUUCGGAGGCGUAAAUCAGUCAGAUUGUUCUAGGCUGAAACAUUGUUUUAUUUAACAAAGCAUAAAGGUGAAAACCACUUUUAAAAUUUCGACAUGUUGUCGUAAUGGUUUGAUAUAACAUGGGCUUAUAUGUGCAUUGCUGUCUCCCAGUGAGAGUUUACAACAGUUAGUGAAAGUUAACAUACUCGUCAACUGAAAUAUGGAAUUCUCACUAAAUCUUCAAAUCCGAGUGUCCGCAAGAAGAACCUGGAGGUCGGCUUGGUACCCCUCCAAAUGAUUCAAAUGCGAGUUGUCAGAAAACGGAUAUCCAGCGGAAUGAAACUAUGACCAGAAACAGUUAUCAGGGUGCAGCCACAUAGAACUGUCUCAUUUGAUCACCUUCCUGCUCAGAGCCGAGGGAUUGUUUUAAUCAUUUGGUAAAUUUAUGAAAAGUCGCUGGAAAGACUAAAAUCAAAAUUUCCCACUAAAUAUAAAUGCAAUAUGGCAUGUUGUCGUAUCUGGCAACCUCUGAUAAGUGAUAAGAAAUUGAUCUAUUGAAAAUACUCUUUAUAUGGUUCUUAUAAUAAAUUGUGAAUAGUGCAGAA